UCCUCGAUAGUAUAGUGGUGAGUAUCCACGCCUGUCACUCGGGGACCGGGGUUCGAUUCCCCGUCGGGGAG
This 71-nucleotide transfer RNA is filed under the name Dreissena polymorpha. It matches the Rfam family "tRNA". From Rfam's summary of the family: Transfer RNA (tRNA) molecules are approximately 80 nucleotides in length. Their secondary structure includes four short double-helical elements and three loops (D, anti-codon, and T loops). Lineage: Eukaryota; Metazoa; Mollusca; Bivalvia; Myida; Dreissenidae. The record is from Rfam by way of RNAcentral.